AGUCGAACGGUAACAGAACUAGCUUGCUAGUUGCUGACGAGUGGCGGACGGGUGAGUAAUACUUAGGGAUCUGCCUCUGUGUGGGGGAUAACUAUUGGAAACGAUAGCUAAUACCGCAUAACGUCUACGGACCAAAGAGGGCUUCGGCUCUCGCGCAGAGAGGAACCUAAGCGAGAUUAGCUUGUUGGUGAGGUAAAGGCUCACCAAGGCGACGAUCUCUAGCUGUUCUGAGAGGAAGAUCAGCCACACUGGAACUGAGACACGGUCCAGACUCCUACGGGAGGCAGCAGUGGGGAAUAUUGCACAAUGGGGGCAACCCUGAUGCAGCCAUGCCGCGUGUGUGAAGAAGGCCUUCGGGUUGUAAAGCACUUUCAGUUGUGAGGAAAGGUUAGUAGUUAAUACCUGCUAGCUGUGACGUUAACAACAGAAGAAGCACCGGCUAACUCCGUGCCAGCAGCCGCGGUAAUACGGAGGGUGCGAGCGUUAAUCGGAAUUACUGGGCGUAAAGCGCACGCAGGCGGUCUGUUAAGCUAGAUGUGAAAGCCCCGCGCUCAACGUGGGAGGGUCAUUUAGAACUGGCAGACUA
Molecule: ribosomal RNA, 586 nt
Filed under: uncultured bacterium
Lineage: Bacteria
Description: bacterial SSU rRNA
Rfam family: Bacterial small subunit ribosomal RNA
Source: RNAcentral